RNAcentral lists this ribosomal RNA (521 nucleotides) under uncultured Pseudomonadota bacterium. RNAcentral describes it as "bacterial SSU rRNA". It matches the Rfam family "Bacterial small subunit ribosomal RNA", at positions 523 to 1041 of the family's 1533-position model. Lineage: Bacteria; Pseudomonadati; Pseudomonadota. The record is from RNAcentral.
AUACGAAGGGACCUAGCGUAGUUCGGAAUUACUGGGCUUAAAGAGCUCGUAGGUGGUUAAAAAAGUUGAUGGUGAAAUCCCAAGGCUCAACCUUGGAACUGCCAUCAAAACUUUUUAGCUAGAGUGUGAUAGAGGUAAGUGGAAUUUCUAGUGUAGAGGUGAAAUUCGUAGAUAUUAGAAAGAACACCAAAUGCGAAGGCAACUUACUGGGUCACUACUGACACUGAGGAGCGAAAGCAUGGGUAGCGAAGAGGAUUAGAUACCCUCGUAGUCCAUGCCGUAAACGAUGUGUGCUAGACGUUGGAAAUAUAUUUUUCAGUGUCGCAGCGAAAGCAUUAAGCACACCGCCUGGGGAGUACGACCGCAAGGUUAAAACUCAAAUGAAUUGACGGGGACCCGCACAAGCAGUGGAGCAUGUGGUUUAAUUCGAAGAUACGCGCAGAACCUUACCAACACUUGACAUGUUCGUCGCGAGACUAAGAGAUUAGUCUUUUCAGUUCGGCUGGACGAAACACAGGUGC